RNAcentral lists this transfer RNA (76 nucleotides) under Klebsiella pneumoniae. RNAcentral's name for it is "tRNA-Val". It matches the Rfam family "tRNA". Rfam says of the family: Transfer RNA (tRNA) molecules are approximately 80 nucleotides in length. The record is from RNAcentral. Lineage: Bacteria; Pseudomonadati; Pseudomonadota; Gammaproteobacteria; Enterobacterales; Enterobacteriaceae.
GGGGGAUUAGCUCAGCUGGGAGAGUACCUCCCUUACAAGGAGGGGGUCGGCGGUUCGAUCCCGUCAUCACCCACCA